UGAACGCUAGCGACAGGCCUAACACAUGCAAGUCGAGGGGCAGCGGGAUUGAAGCUUGCUUAAUUGCCGGCGACCGGCGCACGGGUGCGUAACAGGUGUGCAAUCUGUCCAUAGUCGGGGAAUAGCCCAGCGAAAGUUGGAUUAAUGCUCCAUGUGAAGUGAUACCGCAUGAUAUUGCUUUGAAACGUAAGGACUAUGGGUGAGCACGCUUCUGAUUAGAUAGUUGGUGAGGUAACGGCUCACCAAGUCGACGAUCAGUAGGGGUUCUGAGAGGAAGGUCCCCCACAUUGGAACUGAGACACGGUCCAAACUCCUACGGGAGGCAGCAGUGAGGAAUAUUGGUCAAUGGGCGAGAGCCUGAACCAGCCAAGUCGCGUGAAGGAUGAAGGUUCUAUGGAUUGUAAACUUCUUUUGUCCGAGGGUAAAAAAGGCUACGUGUAGCUUCUUGCAAGUAUCGGACGAAUAAGCAUCGGCUAACUCCGUGCCAGCCGCGGC
RNAcentral lists this ribosomal RNA (495 nucleotides) under uncultured bacterium. RNAcentral's name for it is "bacterial SSU rRNA". It matches the Rfam family "Bacterial small subunit ribosomal RNA", at positions 30 to 518 of the family's 1533-position model. The record is from RNAcentral.